AUUAAUGAGAGUUUGAUCCUGGCUCAGGACGAACGCUGGCGGCGUGCCUAAUACAUGCAAGUAGAACGCUGAAGAGAGGAGCUUGCUCUUCUUGGAUGAGUUGCGAACGGGUGAGUAACGCGUAGGUAACCUGCCUUGUAGCGGGGGAUAACUAUUGGAAACGAUAGCUAAUACCGCAUAACAAUGGAUGACACAUGUCAUUUAUUUGAAAGGGGCAAUUGUUCCACUACAAGAUGGACCUGCGUUGUAUUAGCUAGUAGGUGAGGUAAUGGCUCACCUAGGCGACGAUACAUAGCCGACCUGAGAGGGUGAUCGGCCACACUGGGACUGAGACACGGCCCAGACUCCUACGGGAGGCAGCAGUAGGGAAUCUUCGGCAAUGGGGGCAACCCUGACCGAGCAACGCCGCGUGAGUGAAGAAGGUUUUCGGAUCGUAAAGCUCUGUUGUAAGUCAAGAACGGGUGUGAGAGUGGAAAGUUCACACUGUGACGGUAGCUUACCAGAAAGGGACGGCUAACUACGUGCCAGCAGCCGCGGUAAUACGUAGGUCCCGAGCGUUGUCCGGAUUUAUUGGGCGUAAAGCGAGCGCAGGCGGUUUGAUAAGUCUGAAGUUAAAGGCUGUGGCUCAACCAUAGUUCGCUUUGGAAACUGUCAAACUUGAGUGCAGAAGGGGAGAGUGGAAUUCCAUGUGUAGCGGUGAAAUGCGUAGAUAUAUGGAGGAACACCGGUGGCGAAAGCGGCUCUCUGGUCUGUAACUGACGCUGAGGCUCGAAAGCGUGGGGAGCGAACAGGAUUAGAUACCCUGGUAGUCCACGCCGUAAACGAUGAGUGCUAGGUGUUGGAUCCUUUCCGGGAUUCAGUGCCGCAGCUAACGCAUUAAGCACUCCGCCUGGGGAGUACGACCGCAAGGUUGAAACUCAAAGGAAUUGACGGGGGCCCGCACAAGCGGUGGAGCAUGUGGUUUAAUUCGAAGCAACGCGAAGAACCUUACCAGGUCUUGACAUCCCGAUGCUAUUUCUAGAGAUAGAAAGUUACUUCGGUACAUCGGUGACAGGUGGUGCAUGGUUGUCGUCAGCUCGUGUCGUGAGAUGUUGGGUUAAGUCCCGCAACGAGCGCAACCCCUAUUGUUAGUUGCCAUCAUUCAGUUGGGCACUCUAGCGAGACUGCCGGUAAUAAACCGGAGGAAGGUGGGGAUGACGUCAAAUCAUCAUGCCCCUUAUGACCUGGGCUACACACGUGCUACAAUGGUUGGUACAACGAGUUGCGAGUCGGUGACGGCGAGCUAAUCUCUUAAAGCCAAUCUCAGUUCGGAUUGUAGGCUGCAACUCGCCUACAUGAAGUCGGAAUCGCUAGUAAUCGCGGAUCAGCACGCCGCGGUGAAUACGUUCCCGGGCCUUGUACACACCGCCCGUCACACCACGAGAGUUUGUAACACCCGAAGUCGGUGAGGUAACCUUUGGAGCCAGCCGCCUAAGGUGGGACAGAUGAUUGGGGUGAAGUCGUAACAAGGUAGCCGUAUCGGAAGGUGCGGCUGGAUCACCUCCUUU
Molecule: ribosomal RNA, 1547 nt
Filed under: Streptococcus thermophilus
Lineage: Bacteria; Bacillati; Bacillota; Bacilli; Lactobacillales; Streptococcaceae
Description: bacterial SSU rRNA
Rfam family: Bacterial small subunit ribosomal RNA
Source: RNAcentral